GAAAUGCGAUACGUAAUGUGAAUUGCAGAAUCUCGUGAAUCAUUGAAUCUUUGAACGCACAUUGCGCCUUAUGGUAUUCCAUAAGGCAUGCCUGUCUGAGCGUCAGCUCCCCCCCACUCAAGCUCUUCUUGCUUGGAAUAUUUUGGAUAAGCAGCUUUGACCGGUUGCUGUUCACAAAUGCAUAGGCAGUAUGGUAGUUAAUCAAGCUGAGCGUAAUAAUUAAAAAAGUCACGUUCAAUAUUGGACUUAUUGUACUCGCCUCUUAACCCACAACUUUACAUUAUGGGUGACCUCAGAUCAGGUAGGGAUACCCGCUGAACUUAA
Molecule: unclassified non-coding RNA, 324 nt
Filed under: uncultured Peziza
Lineage: Eukaryota; Fungi; Ascomycota; Pezizomycetes; Pezizales; Pezizaceae
Description: sequence contains ITS1
Rfam family: 5.8S ribosomal RNA (bases 1-105)
Source: RNAcentral